GACGAACGCUGGCGGCGUGCUUAACACAUGCAAGUCGAACGGAAAGGCCCUGCUUUUGUGGGGUGCUCGAGUGGCGAACGGGUGUGUAACAUGUGAGUAACCUGCCCUUGACUUUGGGAUAACUUCAGGAAACUGGGGCUAAUACCGGAUAGGAGCUCCUGCUGCAUGGUGGGGGUUGGAAAGUUUCGGCGGUUGGGGAUGGACUCGCGGCUUAUCAGCUUGUUGGUGGGGUAGUGGCUUACCAAGGCUUUGACGGGUAGCCGGCCUGAGAGGGUGACCGGCCACAUUGGGACUGAGAUACGGCCCAGACUCCUACGGGAGGCAGCAGUGGGGAAUAUUGCACAAUGGGCGGAAGCCUGAUGCAGCAACGCCGCGUGCGGGAUGACGGCCUUCGGGUUGUAAACCGCUUUCGCCUGUGACGAAGCGUGAGGGACGGUAAUGGGUAAAGAAGCACCGGCUAACUACGU
RNAcentral lists this ribosomal RNA (467 nucleotides) under uncultured bacterium. Its description in RNAcentral is "partial 16S ribosomal RNA". It matches the Rfam family "Bacterial small subunit ribosomal RNA", at positions 28 to 506 of the family's 1533-position model. The record is from RNAcentral.